CUGCUCUGUGAUUCUUUCUUGGGAUUAAACUCCUUUUCUUUUCUUCUUUUACCUCAUAAAUUAUGAACAUGAAAACAGCAAAAAGUUGAGUCAGAAUCUUCAUUCAUUUACUCAAUAAACAUACACUAAAUAUCUACUCUGAAUCGUACAUGGUUGUAGGCACCAGGGAUACCUGGCGGGGAUCUUGGAGCACUUCUGGUCCAGUGGAGCUUACAUUAGGAUCACCCCAGCGGCUCUUAAAAUUCUUGAUCCUAAGUCUGCACCCUGCAGAAAUCCUGAUGAAACUGGUUUGGAGUGGGGCUUGGUACCCAUAGUCUAGAAAAGCUCUCCAGGUAAUGCGAAUGGUAGCUGGGCUUGGAACCACUGAAAUCUAGACUGGCCAGUGAAACGAUUUGCUUCAGGUCACCGGAAAACCUGAAUCUGCAUGGGUCUGACUUCCGCUCUGGGGUUUGCGUGACAAAAUCAGAGAGUUUUUCAUGGAUUUGGCAUCUGUCUGAAUUGACUGCUAAAUUCUUAGAGAACAAGUCUGUUUUUCCUUAAUCCAAACAGAAUCCAAUUCACUUCAGGUAAAGUGCCAAAAGGACCUCUGGCUUGGGAUUCAUUUUAAAUCACUGCUUUCUCAAACUGUCCGUUUUGUUUCUGGAACUGAAUUACUCAGCCAAGUGAGUGAAAGUCUAUAAAAAUAGUUCCUCUUCACUGAGCCCCGAGUGUAGGUCAGGUGCUUUACCUGCAGAGUUUCAGUUAAUUCCCAGGUCAAUCUCACAGGGUAGGUAUUGCUGACAUCAGUUUACAAGUGGGCAAACUGAGAUUCAGAGCCAUCGAGGAUUGUAAUUUGUUCAAGGUGGCACAGCUGAAAUGAUAACUUCAGAGUUCAUGUUCUUUCCCCUACACCGCUCUGCAGCUACCCCACAGCCGAGAGCGUGGGGCAGCUGGCAGAUGGCAGCAUUCUACUCUGGCUUCACAUAGGAAAGAAAGCUUUGUGCUGGUGAAGCUCCAGACAUGAUCCGGACAAUUGUUACCUGAGCUCAGUGACAGUACUAGGGGCCUGGAGGAAAGGGGGACUUGGGGAUAAGACAGAUGCGCAGAUUUGGAGUUGAGUUCUUUUUGUUGAUGGUUAUGCCUGGAUUCCUUUUACUGAGGGAUUUGGAAGAAGCAGCUAAGAGCAAUGUGGCGCCUGAAGCAGUUAGUUCUAAGACACCUAGCAAUGAUGAUGCAUGCUUGGUAUAAGCAUUAUCUAUUCUUGGCCUGGAUUCCCGUGGGCUGGCAGAGUGGCUGUGUUGCCAUGUAUCUUUGCAAUCUGAUCUCUGCCUGAUACUUCCCGGGCAGCCUGGUGUGGCCUCCAGGGGCUCGGAAGGGCCAGGACUCAUUGUGUCCAUUCCAAAGAACUCUAACAGAGAGAUCUCACCCCUGCCAUUCUCUGGGGGCCACCUUAUACAGUAGUAGGAGAUCCAGGCCUUGACAAGCAGCAAGGGCUGGUCUUAGAAUGGAUCAGGGCUUGUCUGCGUCUCAUUCAGCAGGUCCACGUGGGAGCAAAGCCACGACUGCUGGUAGAAAGAGUGCAGAGUAGGCCGGGCGCGGUGGCUCAUGCCUGUAAUCUCAGCACUUUGGGAGGCCGAGGCGGGUGGAUCAUGAGGUCAGGAGAUCGAGACCAUCCUGGCUAACACAGUGAAACCCUGUCUGUACUAAAAAUACAAAAAAUUAGCCGGGCAUGGUGGCGGGCGCCUGUAGUCCCAGGUACUCGGGAGGCUGAGGCAGGAGAAUGGCGUGAACCUGGGAGGCAGAGCUUGCAGUGAGCCGAGAUGGUGCCACUGCACUCCAGCCUGGGCGACCGAGCAAGACUCUGUCUCAAAAAAAAAAAAAAAAAAAAAAAGAGUGCAGUAGAGCACAGCUUGAAAGACCCUUCAAGAUUUUCUUGUCUAACUCUCAUUUCACAGAUAAAAUACUGAGGCUCAGAGAAGUGACAGGAUUUAGGAUUACACAGCCAGCUGGUGGUGGGAUUACACUUGAACUCAGGGCUCUCCUGAUUCCUGGCCCAGUCUGCCUUCCCUGAUGUGUCCACUAGCAGGGAAGAAGCUGGUAGUAGGUGAGCCCUUGAAAGCACUGCAGUGGCAAAAGGGAGAGAGAAGGUCUUCCCAUAUUUGUUUCAGGGUGUGGCCAAGCUGUGUGUGUCAAUGGGUGGCUGUGGAUGGGGUGUGUAUUUAGAAAAGCUGUCUUCAACUUGAAGGACUGGGUGAUGGCCACUCUCUUUUCCAGGCAAAUCACACUCAUCCAGACUUGUAUCCCUCCCAUUGUUAGAAAACAUGGUAUUUCCCCCAACGUUUUUCUCCAUGCACUGUGGCAGGUGUUUGGAUAGUCGGGGAGCGAUCGGCGAUUGAGUCAGGCAGGAAUGGUCAGGCUGUGGUAGUUGCUCUCAAGCUGUGGUCAAGGCUCUGGGUGUCCCCGAAAGAAUCAAAGUCUGAUCUCAGCCUCCCUGUUCAAUGGAUAGGACCCAGACUUGGAGACAGGGAGAAACAGAGGGAGUUCUGAGAUGCUGGUACAUCCUGAAGACUAGAUCAAAACCAUUUACAAGAUGCAAGUCUAUAGAUCCAUGAGGUGGGCUGGGUUUAUUUCUUGAGGCUUGGUUCUCAAGGGAGACUUCACUUUAAUUCGACAAGUUUCUGAGUGCCUAUACUAUAUGCAUGGUGUAGCAUAAUUUGCUGCAGGAGAUGCAGAUAUGUAAGACAGUGCUAUGGCCCCCUGAGGUUGCGUUGAAGAUGACACAUCCCAAUAACUUUUUGAACCCUUACCAUGGGCCAGGGGCUCUGCAUUUAUGUAAUCCUUACCAUAAUCCUGCAAAUGGGGAUUCUAUUUUCCAUUUUUUAGAUGAAGAAAUGGCCUGAGAGAAGCUAAACAACUGUUCCUCUGUCAUGGCCAGUGAGUGGCUGAGCACGUUCAGAAGCUGUGCCCUUUCUGCGGUACCAGGAGGCUACCAGCUAACCACAAGACCUGGCAGACUCAGGCCAGUUCUCCAAACCAGGCUUCAACAAGGUGUUUGAGGAGCACAGAGGUUAUAAAAUAGCCUAGUCAAUAGAAAGACAACCAUAAAUGUCCGUCCUUAUGGAGUCAGAUAAUCCUUGAAGAACCGCUAAAUCAUUUGGAGGACUUGGAUUGCUGGUUCCCACCCCCAGGGUUAUUGCUACAUGGAUGAAGAAGAGAUCCAAGAAACUUUAAUGGAAUGAUGUGGGGUAAAUAACAGCAAAGUCUUUCUCCUU
This is a long non-coding RNA of Pan troglodytes (chimpanzee), 3251 nucleotides long. RefSeq lists it as uncharacterized. The record is from RefSeq and is a predicted model, not a curated record. Lineage: Eukaryota; Metazoa; Chordata; Mammalia; Primates; Hominidae. The transcript is spliced from 2 exons.